Long non-coding RNA from Acinonyx jubatus (cheetah), 7854 nucleotides. RefSeq lists it as uncharacterized. The record is from RefSeq and is a predicted model, not a curated record. The transcript is spliced from 7 exons. Lineage: Eukaryota; Metazoa; Chordata; Mammalia; Carnivora; Felidae.
AAUAGCGUUGUGGUUGGGGCACCUGGGUGGCUCGUCCGUUAAAUGUCUGACUUCAACUCAGGUCAUGGUCUCGCGGUCUGUGAGUUUGAGCCCUGUACCGGGCAAUGCGCUGACAGCUUAGAGCCUGGAUCCUGCUUCAGAUUCUGUGUUUCCCUCUCUCUCUGCCCCUCCCCCACUCGUGCUCUGUUUCUCUCAUUCUCAAAAAUAAAUAAUAAAACAUUAAAAAUUUCUUAAAAAUUAAAAUGAAAACAAUAGCACUGUGGCUAUUUGUGAUAGAGAGCAUAAGAAAUAUCAAUGCGAUGAGUUAAGUGUCAAUUUCUUUUCUUCCCCAGGGUUGCAGAAAACAGAAACCAACUCCAGCUAGUUCCCAUGAAAGGAAUUUAUUGAUAGGACACCCGGGUCCUGACAUCUAAGAGUUAAAAUAACCAGUCUUUGGAUGAGCCAGAGCCAGGCAACUCCAGGGCCCUCAGAAAAGGACAAUUAUGGACUUCUCUAGAACACUGACAUCCAUAUUUCUCAUUUUUAGUGACCUGUAGUGUCAGAUGGAUGAGCUCUGGCCAGGAAGGUAGGGUCCAUGAUUGCUAGAGGACCCUCGUCUGUAUCAGGGGCAAUUCCCAAGGCAAGGGGAAUAUUAGGAGCUAGUAAAUUUUUAAGGCUUUAAUGAGGUGUAAUUGUCAUAUAAUAAACUGUACCUAUCUAGAAUGUACAAAUGGAUGUAUUUUCAUAUAUACACAAAAUUAUAUACAAUUAUAUUUAUGUUAUAUAUUAUAUCUAUUUAUCAGGAAAACUAUAACUGUGAUGAAAAUAAUGAAUAUAUCCAUCAUCCUUGAAAGUUUCUUUGUGCUCCUCUGUAUUCCCCCUCUCCUACCUCUCUGUGCUCCUCUACCUGUUCCCAGCCAAUCACUGAUCUGCUUCUGUCGCUAUAGAUUAAUUUGCAUUUUCCAGAAUUGUGUAUAAAUGGGAUCAUAUAAUAUGUGCUCCUUCUUGUCUGGUUUUUUUCACUUGGUAUAAUUAUUUUGAGAUUCAUCUAUGUUGUAGCUUGCAUCAGUGCUUCAUUCUUUUUCAGGGCAUGUAAUAUUCCAUUGUAUGGAUAUACCACAGUUUGUUUAUCCAUUCACUUCUUCAUGGGCAUUUAUGUUGCUUCUGAUUUGGAGCUCUUACCAAUAAACUUGCUAUGAAAAUUCAGGCACAAGUCUUUGCUUAGGUAUGUGUUUUCACUUUUCUUGGGUAAAAACCUAGGACUAGAAUGGCUGGGUCAUAUUCUAAGUGUAUAUUUAAUUUUUUCAGAACCUGCCAAGCAGUUUUCCAAAGUGGUUGUUGCAUGUGUUACAUUCCCACCAGCAAUGUAGGAGAGUUCCAGCAGUUCCAUAUCCUCACCUCCACUUGGUAUGUAUCCGGAACUUAUUUUUAGAAAACUCUCAAAGCUUAAUACUAAGAAGAGCAAUAACCCAAUUUUUAAAAAUGAGUAAAAGAUUUCAAUAGAUAAUUUGCUAAGGAAGAUAUACAGUGGCAAACAAACACAUGAAAAGAUAUUUAACAUCAUCAGUCAUUAGAGAAAUGAAAAUUAAAAGCACAAUGGCAAGCUUAUUCAAAUAGCUAACAUUCAAAGGAAGCUAAUAAUUUUACAUUAUUCUGCUGCCCAUUUUAUAGAUGAGAAAACUGAGGCUCCAGGAAUUAAGUGACUUGACCAAGCUAUCCAGUGAUAGAAUUUGAAUUUGAACCUGGGUCUGCUAACCCCUGCUUAAUCUUGAUGCUAUGCCAGCAGUAGUCCUUUGAAGUAGGCUUCACAAGCAAGAUUGAAAACAGGGGAACUCACUUAUUACUCAGGAGUACAAUUUCCAUUUUCUCUCCUGAUGAGACAGGCUACCACCACUCAUAGUGAACUUUAGGGAACUUCAAGUUUUGGUGUCUGUUUUGCCUAAAGGAUAGAUUUUGUUUUCCUAACAUCCAGCUUCGUCUAGGUGCCUCUGAGGGAAGUACUCAAAGUAUGGGGAUGCCCACCAAAGCUUCUUUGGUCCAACGAAGACAGAGGUCUGUUUAACCAUGAUCAUUACGAGAGGCUGACAAAUUUUAAUUUCUGGCUUUGUCCUACAAGGGACCACAGUAAUACUGUCAAGUGACGGGACCAUUUUUUAACAGAGCAUUCUGUGUGAACUGGUUGAAUGGAGUGCCAUGAAAGUCUUUAAUAAAUUAUAGGUGGAUUUAUGGGUUCUGCUCCGGGCCAAGAACAUCCCUGGGAAGGCUAGAAUUUAUAUGCUGUGUGUGCACUUUAAGAGCUCCUGGUAGAUGGUGCAAAGGACAAGAUAAAAAUAAAGAAGGGAAGAUAAUGAGCAAACUGCUCUUUGUUGGCAAAAAUCUUUGUUUUUCUGCCUCCAAAGUUUUCUGUAACGUUUCCAUUGACCUAGAAGCUAUUGUGCUUUCUGCUUUUUGUAGCUGCCUGUAUUCCUGGCCUUGUGGCUUCUUCUCCAUCUUCAAAGCACAUGACUGCAGUCCGUCUGCUUCUCCCUAUACAAGGAGACAUCCCCCGGAUAAUCCAGCAUUAUCUUCCCAUCUCAAGAUCCUUCGUGCAAAGGAUCCUUUUUGUCAUCUAAGGAGAAAGCACAUCCGUCCUAAGAAGAAGGCUGGUUCGUAAUCACGAGGGUAUGCAUUGCCUAUGCAAUUGAAGCAAUUGGAAGUUGAAGGAAGGGUCAAGUUUUUGACACUGAAAAUGUGUCUGUGUAUAGCAAAUCAACAGAGGAGUUCAUGUUCACAGAGUAGUGUUCACAUAUCCAAAAGCAGCACAUAAAACCACAUCUUCUCUUUCUGAGUCCAACUUGCGAAUCGGAAGCCAUUUCUGUGGAGGCAGAACUCCAUCCAUGAUGCAACAGGUGAGGAAUAGCUUCAUAAUUUUCAGAUUAGCAGACUUUCUCUGCUAAUGUCUCACUAAUUACCAUGUAGACUUAGCAUUGAACCAUAAUUAUUAUCAGUUAAUUAGACCUUAAAAUGUAUCUUUGAUAACACCUCUGGCAUUUAAUUAUGUAACUGGUAACUUAUGAAUGUUAUUAAGGGGAUAUAUGACUACACUAACGUGUAAUUAGAUCUCGUUUUUGUUUCUUGAUAUCAUAUUGAUUCUGAUAAUAGGGUUGGAGUUUUUACAGCUUAUAUGAAAAUGGUCAUAUUAAAUUGAUAGUCUAUAAAACAAAUGCACAUGUUAGCAAAUAUUUAAUAAGCAUAUUAAAAGAAAGAGUCUGUGGGAGAAAGAAAAGUGGAGAUUAUUCUUGGUAUCAUUUUAAGAAGUUCAUAGCAAAUACAUUGCCUGUUUUCAAGGCCACUUUCUGCCUAAAAACAAACAGCAUUCAAGAAUUCAUGUAAUAAAAGAAAUUAGUUCCUACUGUUGGAAAACAGAAAAAAAAAACCUACCAAACUGUUUUCAAUAUUGUGAGAGUAACAAAUACGUGUCCCCAAAGCUUUAUGCACCUCGACUCAUUUUUUGAAUGUCCUAUUGUCAUUUAGGAAAUGUUCAGCAAUCUUUUUGUAAAAUGAAGAAUCUCUUUUUAAAAUAAUGUGGCUAAUUUCCUCUCUUUGUGGGAGAAUUAAAGUCAGCUAAAAAUCAGAUUGUCUAGUUAGAUUUUCUGGUAGAUUUCAAGCCCCUUGAGGGCAAUGUUCUGUCCCUUUUACAUCUUAUUAUCAUUUACAAUUCCUAAUGUGGUGGUUUGCACAGCGUAGGUAUUUUUUUCAGCUUUACUGAGGUAUAGCUGACAAAUAAAAUUGUUAGAUAUUUAAAGUAUACAUCGUGAUGAUUUGAGAUACAUACACAUCGUGAGAGGGUUCCUCUCAUCUAGUUAAUUAACACAUCCACUUCCUCACAUAUUUAUCUUGUUUUGUUUGUGUGUGAGAACACUUAAGGUUUACUCUCUUAGCAAAUUUCAAUUAGACAAUACAAUGUUAAUGAACUUUUGUCAUCAUGUUAUCCAUUAGAUCUUCAGAGAUGUUAUUCAUCUUAUAGCUGAAAGUUUGUACCCUUUUGCCAACCUCUUCCUAUUUCCCCAUCCCGGCAGGCCCUGGCAACCACUUUUCUACUCUCUAUGUCUUUGAGUUUGGCUCUACAUACGAGUUUGAUUCUACGUAUCAGUGAUACCAUGCAGCAUUUGUCUUUGUGUUAUCUCACUUAGCAUAAUGUUCUUAAAGUUCACUCAUGUUGUCAUAAAUGGCAGGCUGUCCUUCUUUCUCAAGGCUGAAUAAUAUUCCAUUGUGUGUAUAUACCACAUGUACUUUACCCAUUCACCUGUUGUUGGACACUUAGGUUGUUUCUAUAUCCUGGCUAUUGUGAAUAGUGCUGCCAUGAACACGGGAGUGAGAUAUUACAAUAUUCUGUUUUCAUUUCCUUUGGAUAUAUACCAGAAGUGGGAUUGCUGGAUCAUAUGGUAUGAAUAUUCAUUGCCUGUUGAGUAAGAGAAAUUGGAGGGAAUUAAAGAAACUCUGCUAUAUCUACUUUCUCUCCAAAAUGUGGAUGAUGAAACAUGCCUUAGGAAAACAAGUAAAGAUUCUGAUGUGGAAAGGGUACUCAGAGCCUGGUGAGCUGAUGGAUACUUAGUCACAGAGGAGAUUGUGGGAUUUAGAAUAAAUCUAAAACAAAUAGAUGGAUUGGUUGAUUUAUAUAGUUUUAACUCCAUAUCCUGAUUUGUAAUAAAAAUGUAAUAAAUUAGCUGGGAUUGUGGGUACUAUUUGACAUGUAACAUAGAGUAAAAGUUAUUAUCAGACAUAAAGUUUUCUCCAAGUGACCCAUCUGUAUGAACAAACUUCUAAUUACCAAACCUUUGUUCUUCGUAUUGCCCUGUGAAGUGCCCUCUUCUUCUUUCAUGCCCCAAGCCUCUAUCCAAUUCCUUAGCUCAGGAUAGUAUAUAUAAUUCCUUUGAUCUUUCUGUCUUUGAACCUCUCAUGCAUGUGGGGUUCCCACGCACACAAAAUUAAAUUUGUUUUUUUCCUGUUAAUCUGUCUUAUGUUAAUUUGAUUAUUAAACCAUCCAAAGAAUCAUGAAGAGUAAAAGAGAAAAUUCUCCUCCCCAACAUCUCCAAACCAAACAUCCAUGUGCAUGAUCUAGACAGGAAAUGUGAAGUUUCAAUCUAGAGACCAUCUGAGCAUGUUAAUUUGUAGCAGAAUGACUUUACCGUUUAAUAGCAAGUAAUCCAUUUCUGAGAAACCAUUGCAGGCAAUUGGUCCAAUUGAACUUCGUCUUUAACAUUUUACUAUGAUUUGUGUGAUUAGGCCACUGGAGGAAGUGGUUUUCAAUAGCAUGAUUAAAGCACUUUGAGGAAAUAAUUUCUGUCUUCAAGCACCUUGCGUACAUUUUUGUUUUCAAGUGUUUGUCCUUUCUCAUUAAGAGGGAGAGGCAGGAAAUGGAGAAAUAUUGACUUUUAAACAUUGUCUUGGAUUGGAAAAGAAAGAUCAAAAAAUAGCAGAGUCAAGUCAGGUCUUUAGCAGACCUGUGCAGCAUAGUUUCUUGUCUGAUGAAUCCUGGAACUUGAGGUAUAAUUAAUUCAGCAUUCUGCAGAUUUGAGAAUUUCACCCCUUUACCAAGGAUUUUUUUUUAAAUUGAGGACACUGAUGAACUUUUAAAUUUACUAAGCAAGGACAUAGUAAAAUACAAACAAACAUAACCAUCACCUACUAAGAAUCAGUUUUAUAAAAGAAGAGACAUUUUAAUGUCAGAAAUAGAGGAAGGAGUUAAUUUUAUAAUAAUGGACUAUUUUAUCCAAGAAAAUACAGUUGUUGCGUUAGUCUCAAUUUGCCAGGAGGUGAAAUUGGGUCACGGACGAGGGACAGAGUUCCCGGUUCAGAUGACUUUCUCAAAUCCAGCUCAGACUAAUUUUAUGCCAAAAAUAUUCGACUCUCUUUCUGUAUGUGCCACAGUGCCUGAAAUUAUGUCCAGAGGUCCCCAAGUAGUGUCCAAAAUCAAUAAAAUUUAUAGCCAGUAUGGAUUGUUCCACAUUUUGGGGAGUAGGAAGGAGUGUUGUCAAAAUGUAGUAGACGUGGUGAGAUUUGCAAACCUCAGAGUCAUCAUUCUGAACUGUUCCUGCCCUUUCCAAUUUAUUUUGAGAAACAGAAUCUUGUGCCCCUUCCCCACGGUGCUUUACAUCUCAACCAAAAGGAAAAGAAGAAAAGUUCUUUAUGGAGAGAGUAGGUUGUGGGUGACCUAUCUGAGUUCACCGGCUCACUGAACAGUGAUUAACAUUUAAAAUGUAUGCAAACUAGACUCCUAAUUAAAGUCCAAUAAUGUAAGACUUUGAACCUAUUCACUGCCUUUGGAAAUAAUCACAGAUGCUGGCUGCUUAUCCUGAAAAAGUCAUUAUGGUAAAUGACCAACUCCCCCACCUUCUCCUUUCCAUCAAGUGCAAAAGUGAUUCUCCAUUGCAGGAUUUGCAAAUGGUGCAUGUUGCAGAGUCAAAUGUCUCCUGGUGGCUGUAAUUGUGAUGCAAAUUAUCUUGGUUACAGGAAGAAUGAAAUUUAUAGAGCUCCUGUCAUAUGUGAAUUUGCAAGCAUGUACCAAAUUUGAAGAGGGUGGACACUCAUGUUGAUCUGAGGGGACCUCGAGAACUCUUGAUGGCAAUUUGGACAUGGCAGUGAUGAAGGAUGAAUGACCUUCCUCCCACUCUCUAUUCUUCCUCGCUUGCUUUGCUGAUUCUUUUGUGGGAGGAUGGAUAGGAGACACAGAGAGGGAAUUGAAAAAGAAUGAUGAAAUCAAAAAUAGGUCAGAAGAAAGAAAUACUCAGGAACUAAAUAUUAGUUGCAGAUCUGAAGAACUAAAGUUGAUUUGUUUGUCAAAGGUAAGGAAUGCAGGUAAGAAUCAAACUCAGCCGCAGAGGAGAAAAAAGGGAAAAGUGAGAAUCAACAUUUAUUGUGCACUUGCUAUGGGCCGGAGAUGCCAGUGGGUGUUAACCGUUUUUUCAUUUGACUUGUAUGAUAGCCUGAUGAACUAGGCUGUAUGAUUUUACAGGUGAGGAGUCUGGGGUUCAGAAAGUUGGUGUACAUGACGAAUAAGGUUCUAAUGCCUCAGAGCUAAACCUCAACUCUAAGUCCAUCUGAUUUGAAAAAUUCCUGGCCUUCCCCAGGUCCAUGUUGCCUCUCAAAAUUACUGAAAAAUACACCUUCAGAAAUGAAAUUCCAGGAAAUGUGAUUUCAGAGCUGGGGUUUCACUUUCUUAUUCACCUGGCCUUCAAUACCACAGAGACAAUGUGGCUCCCAUAACUGUUUGUGGCAGAUGCAGUUGCUGCUGUGACCAAUGCACUGUGGUCCUGGGAUGGAAUGUGAUAGAAUGUGUAACUACUGAAGGAGCUCCGGGGAGCUCUUCCGUUUGCUUCGUCAAGCCCUCUUAACCGUACUCUGUGUGGUAGAUGUGGGUGGGUAAUUUAAUGUUUACUUGCUUGAAGCAAAUAUUGAUAUGUAGUCGGCAAAUGAAAUCAUUUUCACCUUUAGUAAAUCAUUUAUUUGAUGGAGACAUUUAGAGAAUACAAGUUGUCUCUUUGAAGAUUUAUGAAUAGGAAAAGUGAUGACGAGCUGUGAAAGAAUAAAUUUUUCCCUCUAUUCUUCUCUUUUUCUUUGGUCUGGCAGGCUUUCCCAAAUAUUUGUGAGGCUCAGGACUGAGUACAAAUAGAGGCCUAGAUACCAUAUGUCUAUUUAUUUAUUUAUUUAUUUAUCAUUUUAGAGAGAGAAAGAGUGUGUGUGUGUGUAUGUAUAAGCAGGGAAGAGACGCAGAGGGAGAGAGAGAGAAUCUUAAGCAGAUGUCAGGCUCGAUCCCAUGACCCUGGGAUCAUGACCUGAGCUGAAAUCAAAAGUCAGACACUGAACCGACUGAGCCACUCAGGUGCCCCCACGUGG